This 1281-nucleotide long non-coding RNA is filed under the name Panicum hallii. RNAcentral's name for it is "long non-coding RNA (PHAL_LNC000232)". The record is from RNAcentral. Lineage: Eukaryota; Viridiplantae; Streptophyta; Magnoliopsida; Poales; Poaceae.
AGUACAUUACAAACUGCUAAAGUCAUGGUUUUUGGCAGCGGAAAUCAUACGCGAUGAUUUACAGCACGUCGUCAAGACGGAUGUCAUGCUAAGCCCAGGCACGACAUCACUCGGUACCACCAAUGUUGGUCGGGGACGGAUCCCAUUUCACGGACCAACCUUCUGAAAGAGCACAGGGUCAAGGCAAGGGAAGAGUAGGGUCUUCAAGACAUUUCCUGCAAAACAUAUAACUAGCAAGGCUGAGUAUACUAAUACUCAGCAAGGCUUACCCGGGAUUGGGUAUACUUUAGCCCAUAACUAGACUCAUGAAGGCAUUUCAAGGGUUCUGGGUUUAUUUUUAGCUGAAAAGCAACAAAGAGUAUAACUUACUUUCAAGUUUAGCUUUCAGAUUCUAGUUUGAUUAGCCAAUCUAGGUAAGCACCUAUACUAAACAAGCAAGAUAUAGAUUAUCAUCCAUCAAGAUUAUUCCCUCAACAUUUACACUUUUUUACUCGAUGUGGUAGAAGGGAUAAGCAGUCUCAUUCAUCGUGAGAGGCGGACGAUUCCUGAAUCGAAAUUCAACCUUGCAAGGUAAACCUAACACACACGCCUGGAACAUCCAAAGAUCGUUCCGAAGCAACCGUUUGCCUUUCAUUCCGGGUCGUGGACAGGGCCACCACAAGCGACUGCAGGACCAUACGCACACCCUAUAUGUGCAGGGCGUACGUCUGUAGCGCGACUACAAAACCCGUACUCCUGGUUGCCCUUGCAACACGUAUUCCCACACGUCGAAUCAAGUAACCAGAAGAACAAAUACAUGUGGUGGUCAGUAUGUCCACUUGCCGGGCCGAUUGGUUACUAGGCUUACCGCUUACCAUAUUUCGCGGUAUGUGGCUAGUACUUUCAAACGCUCAGCCACCACUACCACACAUUUCGACCUUAAAGCUUUUAUCAAAACAGAUAGGGUAAACUUUAGGUCAUGAUACAACACAUGACCCUGUCCAUCAUCCUUAUAGUGGUUGCAGAAUUGUAAACAAGCAACUCCUAUAUCGCGCGAGUGACAGGGAAUCACCUGACUUUUACCGGUCCUAUUUAGCAGAGCAUCUAUGCGAAAAGGACUCGGGUACAGUACACUGGGUUCCUGAGAUAUCAUGCAACUAGAGUGUCAUUGCAACUCCUAGACGUAAUGCAAGAUAUAUAAUGUAUAAGAUUGCGUAUUGUAGUAAGUUGAAAUACUGGGUUAUGCACCGGGGCUUGCCUUUACUGGUGGGUCUGAAGUCAGUAAGUCAACAUCUUCCGAAC